Molecule: non-coding RNA, 58 nt
Organism: Salmo salar (Atlantic salmon)
Lineage: Eukaryota; Metazoa; Chordata; Actinopteri; Salmoniformes; Salmonidae
Source: Rfam
UGGCUCAGUUGGUAGAGCAUGGUGUUUGCAACGACAGGGGUGUGGGUUCGAUUCCCAC